GGGCCCGCACAAGCGGUGGAGCAUGUGGUUUAAUUCGAUGAUACGCGAGGAACCUUACCAGGGCUUAAAUGUAAGUUGCAUUAGUUAGAGAUAGCUAUUUCUUCGGACCACUUACAAGGUGCUGCAUGGUUGUCGUCAGCUCGUGCCGUGAGGUGUCAGGUUAAGUCCUAUAACGAGCGCAACCCCUGUUGUUAGUUGCCAGCGAGUCAUGUCGGGAACUCUAACAAGACUGCCGGUGCAAACCGUGAGGAAGGUGGGGAUGACGUCAAAUCAUCACGGCCCUUACAGGCUGGGCUACACACGUGCUACAAUGGCGAUGACAGUGGGCAGCGACCCCGCAAGGGUGAGCUAA
This 352-nucleotide ribosomal RNA is filed under the name uncultured bacterium. RNAcentral's name for it is "bacterial SSU rRNA". It matches the Rfam family "Bacterial small subunit ribosomal RNA", at positions 917 to 1271 of the family's 1533-position model. The record is from RNAcentral.